RNAcentral lists this ribosomal RNA (1065 nucleotides) under uncultured bacterium. RNAcentral describes it as "bacterial SSU rRNA". It matches the Rfam family "Bacterial small subunit ribosomal RNA", at positions 39 to 1145 of the family's 1533-position model. The record is from RNAcentral.
CCCUUCGGCCUAACACAUGCAAGUCGAACGGGCGUAGCAAUACGUUAGUGGCGCACGGGAGAGUAACGCGUGGGAACCUUCCUUUUGGUUCGGGAUAACACCGGGAAACUGGUGCUAAUACCGGAUAAGCCCCUUGGGGGAAAGAUUUAUCGCCGAAAGAUGGGCCCGCGUUGGAUUAGCUAGUUGGUGAGGUAAUGGCUCACCAAGGCGACGAUCCAUAGCUGGUCUGAGAGGAUGAUCAGCCUCACUGGGACUGAGACACGGCCCAGACUCCUACGGGAGGCAGCAGUGGGGAAUAUUGGACAAUGGGGGCAACCCUGAUCCAGCCAUGCCGCGUGAAUGAUGAAGGCCUUCGGGUUGUAAAGUUCUUUUGCAGGGGACGAUGAUGACGGUACCCUGAGAAUAAGCUCCGGCUAACUUCGUGCCAGCAGCCGCGGUAAUACGAAGGGGGCUAGCGUUGUUCGGAAUUACUGGGCGUAAAGGGCGCGUAGGCGGUUUAGCAAGUUGGAUGUGAAAGCCCAGGGCUCAACCCUGGAAUUGCAUUCAAGACUGCUUUACUUGAAUUCGGUAGAGGUGAGUGGAAUUCCCAGUGUAGAGGUGAAAUUCGUAGAGAUUGGGAAGAACACCGGUGGCGAAGGCGGCUCACUGGACCGACAUUGACGCUGAGGCGCGAAAGCGUGGGGAUCAAACAGGAUUAGAUACCCUGGUAGUCCACGCCGUAAACGAUGCAUGCUAGACGUUGGAAACUUCGGUUUCUUGUGUCGCAGCUAACGCACUAAGCAUGCCGCCUGGGGAGUACGGCCGCAAGGUUGAAACUCAAAUGAAUUGACGGGGGCCCGCACAAGCGGUGGAGUAUGUGGUUUAAUUCGACGCAACGCGAAGAACCUUACCAGCCUUUGACAUGUCCACUAUGGAUUUGAGAGAUCAGGUCCUUCACUUCGGGUGGGUGGAACACAGGUGCUGCAUGGCUGUCGUCAGCUCGUGUCGUGAGAUGUUGGGUUAAGUCCCGCAAUGAGCGCAACCCUCAUCUUCAGUUGCCCCCGGGUCAGGCCGGGCACUCUGAAG